RNAcentral lists this long non-coding RNA (910 nucleotides) under Equus caballus (horse). RNAcentral describes it as "lncRNA (ENSECAG00000043193.2)". The record is from RNAcentral. Lineage: Eukaryota; Metazoa; Chordata; Mammalia; Perissodactyla; Equidae.
GCUGGAACUCAGUGAGGGGGAGUAGGCAUGGGGACAAGGUCACAGCGUGGUCUGGUGGGUGGAUUGGGCAUGGUGGGGGGCAUAUGGGCCAUGUCCAGGGCUCUGGCUUUUCCUCUGAGUGUAAAGGGAGCCAUGGAAGGCUGGGAGCUGUGGAAAUUCAAAGGUCACCCCUGGGCUCUGGGAGGACCAUUGUCAGAGGCGAGGCCCAGGGAAAGGGAGCGGCUGGUUGGGAGGCUGGUGCUCUGGGCUGCACGCCCAGGGCUGGGACUGUCUGCUGGUCUGCCCCUCUCAGCAUCCUGCCCGGUCCUAUGGACCCACCUCCCAGGAUGCCGCCUGAGCCCGUCCCCCAGGCAAACCCCUUUGCCCACCCUUUCCAUAAACUGCCCGUCCCUCCGAGUUUCUCGGUCUCCCUUGCCCUCUUGCUGCCCAGUCCUGAGCUCUCCCCUCCAGCCCCAGGUCAGACGGAGGCCUAAGCCUGCCCCUGACCCCUCUUUCAGGGUCUCCUUCUCUACCUGCUGGCCUGAGAGCACCUUGUGGCUGGCAGCCAGAUCUGCCCCCUCCCAAUUCAGCCUUGCCCCAGCCAGUUGUAGGUCCUUUUGGUUGUGCCAUGUGGGAUGCCGCGUCAACAUGGCCUGAUCACUUUGGAAAACCUUUUGACAGUUUCCGCAAAAUUCAGACACACACCUACUGUAAGACCCAGCCGUCAUCUUCCCAGGGAUUCACCUGUCACAGAAGGAAGCAUUUGCUCAUGCAAAAGCUUUAUACGAGGCUUCUCCGCGCUCAGUGUGUGAUUGGCUGAACAAAUGAAUCCAUCUGAUUGGUCCAGCUGACUGGAGGCAGCUGCUGAUUGGUUCCUGCUGUGACUUGUCUGCGGCCACUACAGACAGCUGUCUGAUUGGUUGGCUGUGAU